AUCCAGCUGAUGAGUCCCAAAUAGGAUGGAAUGCAUGUCCUGGAU
Molecule: non-coding RNA, 45 nt
Filed under: Schistosoma haematobium
Lineage: Eukaryota; Metazoa; Platyhelminthes; Trematoda; Strigeidida; Schistosomatidae
Source: RNAcentral